Molecule: non-coding RNA, 73 nt
Organism: Camelus ferus (Wild Bactrian camel)
Lineage: Eukaryota; Metazoa; Chordata; Mammalia; Artiodactyla; Camelidae
Source: Rfam
GGAGGGUACAGCUCAGUGGUAGAGUGCAUGCUUAGCAUGCCCGAAGUCCUGGGUUCAGUCCCCAGCCCCUCCA